GGUAGUGGCGGGCUAGGAGGCGGGGGAGUGGGGGGGGUGCGAGGGCUCAGCGGAAGUACGGGGAGUAGAGCGUGCGGAGGCGGAUGGUGCAGUCAGCGGGGAAAGCCCCUGGCUCAACCUGGGAACGGCGGUUGAGACGGCCCGUCUCGAGUGGGCUAGAGGAGCGUGGAAUUCCGGGUGUAGCGGUGAAAGGCGUAGAGAUCCGGAGGAACACCGAUGGCGAAGGCAGCGAUCUGGGGCCACACUGACGCUGAGGCACGAAAGCGUGGGGAGCAAACAGGAUUAGAUACCCCAGUAGUC
Molecule: ribosomal RNA, 300 nt
Filed under: uncultured Bhargavaea sp.
Lineage: Bacteria; Bacillati; Bacillota; Bacilli; Caryophanales; Caryophanaceae
Description: bacterial SSU rRNA
Rfam family: Bacterial small subunit ribosomal RNA (bases 52-300)
Source: RNAcentral